GUGGGGAAUAUUGGGCAAUGGGCGAAAGCCUGACCCAGCAACGCCGCGUGAAGGAAGAAGGUCUUCGGAUCGUAAACUUCUAUCCUUGGUGAAGAUAAUGACGGUAGCCGAGAAGGAAGCCCCGGCUAACUACGUGCCAGCAGCCGCGGUAAUACGUAGGGGGCAAGCGUUGUCCGGAAUGAUUGGGCGUAAAGGGCGCGUAGGCGGCCUGGUAAGUCUGGAGUGAAAGGCCUGCUUGUAAGGUGUGAAUUGCUUGGGAUACUGUCGGGCUGGAGUGCAGGAGAGGUAAGUGGAAUUCCCGGUGUAGCGGUGAAAUGCGUAGAGAUCGGGAGGAACACCAGUGGCGAAGGCGACUUACUGGACUGUAACUGACGCUGAGGCGCGAAAGUGUGGGGAGCAAACAGGAUUAGAAACCCCUGUAGUCC
This 425-nucleotide ribosomal RNA is filed under the name uncultured bacterium. RNAcentral describes it as "partial 16S ribosomal RNA". It matches the Rfam family "Bacterial small subunit ribosomal RNA", at positions 354 to 796 of the family's 1533-position model. The record is from RNAcentral.